AGAAAAUCCUCUCUGCUAGCAACUUCAUUUUCACUCCAGCAUUAUUCUGUUGCAGGGCCUAUGAAGCAGAUUGCUAACAAAAAGGGUUGCUCAGAGGGUUUCUUUCAAUAAACCCAAAGGAAAAGAGUCAAGAUCUCCAUAAUGAUUUUGUUUCGUUUUGAUUUCCGUACAAAGUGAACCAACUAAAGUGAACUCUGCAGUAUGGACAUCUCCCUGGGGCACCUCAAGGUCAGAUGGUGUUCAUGACUUGGAUGCACAU
This 259-nucleotide long non-coding RNA is filed under the name Phasianus colchicus (ring-necked pheasant). RNAcentral describes it as "lncRNA (ENSPCLG00000020694.1)". Lineage: Eukaryota; Metazoa; Chordata; Aves; Galliformes; Phasianidae. The record is from RNAcentral.